Molecule: unclassified non-coding RNA, 260 nt
Filed under: uncultured fungus
Lineage: Eukaryota; Fungi
Description: partial contains 5.8S rRNA and ITS2
Source: RNAcentral
AACGCACAUUGCGCCCCCUGGCAUUCCGGGGGGCAUGCCUGUCCGAGCGUCAUUGCUGCCCAUCAAGCCCGGCUUGUGUGUUGGGUCGUCGUCCCCCCCGGGGGACGUGCCCGAAAGGCAGCGGCGGCACCGUGUCCGGUCCUCGAGCGUAUCGGGCUUUGUCACCAGCUCGACUAGGGCCGGCCGGGGGCCAGCCGACGUCUCCAACCAUUGUUCUUCAGAUUUUCCUCGGAUCAGGUAGGGAUACACGCUGAACUUAA